AAACGUAGGAGGCUAGCGUUAUCCGGAUUUACUGGGCGUAAAGCGCGUGCAGGUGGUUUCGUAAGUUGGAUGUGAAAGCUCCUGGCUCAACUGGGAGAGGUCGUUCAAAACUGCGAGGCUUGAGAGUGGUAGAGGGAGGUGGAAUUCCGGGUGUAGUGGUGAAAUGCGUAGAUAUCCGGAGGAACACCAGUGGCGAAAGCGGCCUCCUGGACCAUUUCUGACACUCAGACGCGAAAGUCUAAGGUAGC
RNAcentral lists this ribosomal RNA (248 nucleotides) under uncultured bacterium. RNAcentral describes it as "partial 16S ribosomal RNA". It matches the Rfam family "Bacterial small subunit ribosomal RNA", at positions 523 to 769 of the family's 1533-position model. The record is from RNAcentral.